RNAcentral lists this ribosomal RNA (233 nucleotides) under uncultured bacterium. Its description in RNAcentral is "partial 16S ribosomal RNA". It matches the Rfam family "Bacterial small subunit ribosomal RNA", at positions 523 to 755 of the family's 1533-position model. The record is from RNAcentral.
AUACGUAGGGGGCAAGCGUUAUCCGGAUUUACUGGGUGUAAAGGGAGCGCAGACGGCAUUGCAAGUCUGAAGUGAAAGCCCGGGGCUCAACUCCGGGACUGCUUUGGAAACUGUAGCGCUAGAGUGCAGGAGAGGCAAGUGGAAUUCCUAGUGUAGCGGUGAAAUGCGUAGAUAUUAGGAGGAACACCAGUGGCGAAGGCGGCUUUCUGGACUGUAACUGACACUGAGGCACG